Molecule: non-coding RNA, 81 nt
Filed under: Pseudomonas sp. WPR_5_2
Lineage: Bacteria; Pseudomonadati; Pseudomonadota; Gammaproteobacteria; Pseudomonadales; Pseudomonadaceae
Source: RNAcentral
AUCGCUGGCAAGCCAGCUCCCACAGGAUUUGUGUGUUUUCAAAAUUGACACAUGACCUGUGGGAGCUGGCUUGCCAGCGAA